RNAcentral lists this ribosomal RNA (253 nucleotides) under uncultured bacterium. RNAcentral describes it as "partial 16S ribosomal RNA". It matches the Rfam family "Bacterial small subunit ribosomal RNA", at positions 524 to 776 of the family's 1533-position model. The record is from RNAcentral.
UACGUAGGGGGCAAGCGUUGUCCGGAUUUAUUGGGCGUAAAGAGCUCGUAGGCGGUCUGUCGCGUCUGCUGUGAAAACUCAGGGCUUAACCCUGAGCUUGCAGUGGGUACGGGCAGACUAGAGUGCGGUAGGGGAGACUGGAAUUCCUGGUGUAGCGGUGAAAUGCGCAGAUAUCAGGAGGAACACCGGUGGCGAAGGCGGGUCUCUGGGCAACAACUGACGCUGAGGAGCGAAAGCGUGGGGAGCGAACAGG